UAUAAGCCAAACAAUUGAUUGCAUAAUAUGAAGGCUUAUAUAAUUCCAAAUGAAAGGGGGAGCUUUAACUCCGAAAUUUAUUGUUCACACCUUUCAAACUUGGAUAAAUUAAAUUACCAGACAUCUGAAUUCAUUUAUGGAUUUUACUUCCUUGUUUAUAGAGCAAUUCACUUUACAUAUACUCAAUAUUUUGUCAUCAUCAAAAAGGGGGAGAUUGUGGAGUGAUUGAUUAAAACCCUAUUUGAUUUUGAUGAGCUCAAAGCAUUUGAGUAUAUCUCUUGUUUACUAAUGAAUUCAAUUAAGUGUUUCAGUGAAAAUCUUGUCUAAGUGUCUCUAGACUUAGUUCACAAUAUUUUGGAUAAGUUAAGAAGUCAGCUUGAAUCAAAGUCUGAGACUCGAGUCGACUCCAGAGUAUCACGAGUCGACUCCAAGCGUAUCAAGUUCACUGGCACGAGCUCGAGUCGACUCCGGAUCAGUACGAGUCGACUCUG
RNAcentral lists this long non-coding RNA (491 nucleotides) under Phoenix dactylifera (date palm). RNAcentral's name for it is "long non-coding RNA (PDAC_LNC021748)". Lineage: Eukaryota; Viridiplantae; Streptophyta; Magnoliopsida; Arecales; Arecaceae. The record is from RNAcentral.